GACGAACGCUGGCGGCGUGCUUAACACAUGCAAGUCGAACGGAAAGGCCCUGCUUUUGUGGGGUGCUCGAGUGGCGAACGGGUGAGUAACACGUGAGUAACCUGCCCUUGACUUUGGGAUAACUUCAGGAAACUGGGGCUCAUACCGGAUAGGAGCUCCUGCUGCAUGGUGGGGGUUGGAAAGUUUCGGCGGUUGGGGAUGGACUCGCGGCUUAUCCGCUUGUUGGUGGGGUAGUGGCUUACCAAGGCUUUGACGGGUAGCCGGCCUGAGAGGGUGACCGGCCACAUUGGGACUGAGAUACGGCCCAGACUCCUACGGGAGGCAGCAGUGGGGAAUAUUACACAAUGGGCGGAAGCCUGAUGCAGCAACGCCGCGUGCGGGAUGACGGCCUUCGGGUUGUAAACCGCUUUCGCCUGUGACGAAGCGGGAGUGACGGUAAUGGGUAAAGAAGCACCGGCUAACUACGUG
This 468-nucleotide ribosomal RNA is filed under the name uncultured bacterium. RNAcentral's name for it is "partial 16S ribosomal RNA". It matches the Rfam family "Bacterial small subunit ribosomal RNA", at positions 28 to 507 of the family's 1533-position model. The record is from RNAcentral.